GAUGAACGCUGGCGGCGUGCCUAAUACAUGCAAGUCGAGCGAACGGACGAGAAGCUUGCUUUUCUGAUGUUAGCGGCGGACGGGUGAGUAACACGUGGAUAACCUACCUAUAAGACUGGGAUAACUUCGGGAAACCGGAGCUAAUACCGGAUAAUAUUUUGAACCGCAUGGUUCAAAAGUGAAAGACGGUCUUGCUGUCACUUAUAGAUGGAUCCGCGCUGCAUUAGCUAGUUGGUAAGGUAACGGCUUACCAAGGCAACGAUGCAUAGCCGACCUGAGGGGGUGAUCGGCCACACUGGAACUGAGACACGGCCCAGACUCCUACGGGAGGCAGCAGUAGGGAAUCUUCCGCAAUGGGCGAAAGCCUGACGGAGCAACGCCGCGUGAGUGAUGAAGGUCUUCGGAUCGUAAAACUCUGUUAUUAGGGAAGAACAUAUGUGUAAGUAACUGUGCACAUCUUGACGGUACCUAAUCAGAAAGCCACGGCUAACUACGUG
Molecule: ribosomal RNA, 497 nt
Filed under: uncultured bacterium
Lineage: Bacteria
Description: partial 16S ribosomal RNA
Rfam family: Bacterial small subunit ribosomal RNA
Source: RNAcentral